GAGGUCAUACUUCAAAGGAUCAUUUCUUUAGUAUGAUUGCUCCUACCCUUAGCCAAUUUGGCGAAGGAACAAACCUCGAUGCGGAGUUAUAGCGUCUUCUCCUGAGCGUGAGGCGGACUUAAAUCGUACGUCAGUGCGUUCUAGGUCCACGAUGACCGUUCCGGACUACUCUCGGGUAGCUCGGAGGGGGGAGACGCAGUCUGAGAGGU
RNAcentral lists this small nucleolar RNA (209 nucleotides) under Orchesella cincta. Its description in RNAcentral is "Small nucleolar RNA U3". It matches the Rfam family "Small nucleolar RNA U3". From Rfam's summary of the family: Small nucleolar RNAs (snoRNAs) are involved in the processing and modification of rRNA in the nucleolus. The record is from Rfam by way of RNAcentral. Lineage: Eukaryota; Metazoa; Arthropoda; Collembola; Entomobryomorpha; Orchesellidae.